Molecule: non-coding RNA, 56 nt
Organism: Picea glauca (white spruce)
Lineage: Eukaryota; Viridiplantae; Streptophyta; Pinopsida; Pinales; Pinaceae
Source: Rfam
GGGUGCGAUCAUACUAGCAUUAAUGCACCAAAUCCCAUCAGAACUCUGCAGUUAAG